UCAUGUAUGAUCAGAAAUUUCACUUAUGAAAUGGCAGAUUUACAGGGGAAAGUCGCCAUGGAGGGCGACUUUAGAAAGCAUAGGGCACGAUGCCCGUUGCUUUCGACCCGUCCGGUAUCAUAAACCCUGCCCAUUUCAUUAGUGAAAUCUGAUCAAACAUUU
Molecule: regulatory RNA element, 162 nt
Organism: Lachnospiraceae bacterium 28-4
Lineage: Bacteria; Bacillati; Bacillota; Clostridia; Lachnospirales; Lachnospiraceae
Source: Rfam